GGGGAAUCUUCCGCAAUGGACGAAAGUCUGACGGAGCAACGCCGCGUGUAUGAUGAAGGUCUUCGGAUUGUAAAGUACUGUCAUUGGGGAAGAACGGUUUUCUUGAAAAGAUUGAGAAGACAUGACGGUACCCAAGGAGGAAGCCCCGGCUAACUACGUGCCAGCAGCCGCGGUAAUACGUAGGGGGCAAGCGUUGUCCGGAAUUAUUGGGCGUAAAGGGCGCGUAGGCGGGCCUUUAAGUCCGGUGUGAAAGAUCAGGGCUCAACCCUGAGAGUGCAUCGGAAACUGGAGGACUUGAGGACAGGAGAGGAAAGUGGAAUUCCACGUGUAGCGGUGAAAUGCGUAGAUAUGUGGAGGAACACCAGUGGCGAAGGCGACUUUCUGGACUGUAACUGACGCUGAGGCGCGAAAGCGUGGGGAGCAAACA
Molecule: ribosomal RNA, 427 nt
Filed under: uncultured bacterium
Lineage: Bacteria
Description: bacterial SSU rRNA
Rfam family: Bacterial small subunit ribosomal RNA
Source: RNAcentral